This 1031-nucleotide ribosomal RNA is filed under the name Clostridioides difficile. RNAcentral describes it as "partial 23S ribosomal RNA". It matches the Rfam family "Bacterial large subunit ribosomal RNA", at positions 1662 to 2703 of the family's 2925-position model. Lineage: Bacteria; Bacillati; Bacillota; Clostridia; Peptostreptococcales; Peptostreptococcaceae. The record is from RNAcentral.
GGUGGGUGAGGAGAGUAUCCUAAGGCUAGCGAGAGAACUGUUGUUAAGGAACUCGGCAAAAUGACCCCGUAACUUAGGGAUAAGGGGUGCCACCAUCAGGUGGCCGCAGAGAAUAGGCCCAAGCGACUGUUUACCAAAAACAUAGGUUUCUGCUAAGUCGCAAGACGAUGUAUAGGAGCUGACGCCUGCCCGGUGCUGGAAGGUUAAGGGGAUCUGUUAGAGCAAUCGAAGCAGUGAACUUAAGCCCCAGUAAACGGCGGCCGUAACUAUAACGGUCCUAAGGUAGCGAAAUUCCUUGUCGGGUAAGUUCCGACCCGCACGAAAGGCGUAACGAUUUGGGCACUGUCUCAACAACAGACUCGGUGAAAUUGUAAUUCCGGUGAAGAUGCCGGAUACCUGCGACAGGACGGAAAGACCCCAUGGAGCUUUACUGUAGCUUGACAUUGGGUCUUGGUACUACAUGUACAGGAUAGGUGGGAGGCUUUGAAACCAGGACGCCAGUUUUGGCGGAGCCAUCCUUGGGAUACCACCCUUGUAGUACUGGGACUCUAACCAUAGGCCAUGAAUCUGGUCUUGGGACACUGUCAGGUGGGCAGUUUGACUGGGGCGGUCGCCUCCCAAAAGGUAACGGAGGCGCUCAAAGGUUCUCUCAGUACGGUCGGAAAUCGUACGUAGAGUGUAAAGGCAAAAGAGAGCUUGAUUGCAAGACAUACAGGUCGAGCAAGGAUGAAAAUCGGACUUAGUGAUCCGGUGGUUCUGCGUGGAAGGGCCAUCGCUCAACGGAUAAAAGCUACCCUGGGGAUAACAGGCUUAUCUCCCCCAAGAGUCCACAUCGACGGGGAGGUUUGGCACCUCGAUGUCGGCUCAUCACAUCCUGGGGCUGUAGUAGGUCCCAAGGGUUGGGCUGUUCGCCCAUUAAAGUGGUACGCGAGCUGGGUUCAGAACGUCGUGAGACAGUUCGGUCCCUAUCCGUCGCAGGCGUAGGAAAUUUGAGAAGACCUGUCCUUAGUACGAGAGGACCGGGAUGGACG